GACGAAAUGUUAUGCUGCUUAUCGCUGACUUCACUGAUGGUGUUGGCAAUGCAACCUUUACAUUUUAAUUUGAUGUACGCAGUAGGAGAUUUAAUAAUUUGGAGAUCAGCUAAUGUGUUUCGAGCAAGUUUUACAUUGUGGCAAGCAUCGGAAUAAUUGGCAUGAGCUCCAUCACACGUAACACUCCAUACCCGGAUACCUGAUUGCUGUGACAAUAUUAAUGCUGUUUUUAUCAGUUCCGCUUGCACUACAGCAUUUAUUUUAUUCACGAAAAAAUAACCCACCGGC
Long non-coding RNA from Harpegnathos saltator (Jerdon's jumping ant), 288 nucleotides. RefSeq lists it as uncharacterized. The record is from RefSeq and is a predicted model, not a curated record. The transcript is spliced from 3 exons. NCBI's taxonomy places the organism in Eukaryota, Metazoa, Arthropoda, Insecta, Hymenoptera, Formicidae.